This 253-nucleotide ribosomal RNA is filed under the name uncultured bacterium. RNAcentral describes it as "partial 16S ribosomal RNA". It matches the Rfam family "Bacterial small subunit ribosomal RNA", at positions 524 to 776 of the family's 1533-position model. The record is from RNAcentral.
UACGUAGGGUGCAAGCGUUAAUCGGAAUUACUGGGCGUAAAGCGUGCGCAGGCGGCUUUGCAAGACAGAUGUGAAAUCCCCGGGCUUAACCUGGGAACUGCAUUUGUGACUGCAUGGCUGGAGUGCGGCAGAGGGGGAUGGAAUUCCGCGUGUAGCAGUGAAAUGCGUAGAUAUGCGGAGGAACACCGAUGACGAAGGCAGUCCCCUGGGCCUGCACUGACGCUCAUGCACGAAAGCGUGGGGAGCAAACAGG